GUUCAACAUGAAGAUUCAACAUUUGAAGAUUACUUAGAAAUUUCCAAUUUCUGAACUUAAAGGGAAGACUUGUAGAUCAUUCAGUUUAGCUGUGCUGGUUGCCUAGCUAACACAGGCCACAAACCUUCAGUUCAUUGGGAUCUGACCUACUCUGAAUACCAUGGUUUGAUCCAGCAUGACCUAAGACAACUUUAAUGAGGACAGGGGCUUUUUAUGGCAUCCAGAAA
Non-coding RNA from Phalacrocorax carbo (great cormorant), 227 nucleotides. The record is from RefSeq and is a predicted model, not a curated record. Lineage: Eukaryota; Metazoa; Chordata; Aves; Suliformes; Phalacrocoracidae.